CAUUUCUAGUUUAAUGAUAGGAGAAUACUAGUUUGUCGUACUGGAGGUGGUUGUUUGGACCGAAAUGGGU
RNAcentral lists this transfer RNA (70 nucleotides) under Fischoederius elongatus. Its description in RNAcentral is "tRNA-Asp". The record is from RNAcentral. Lineage: Eukaryota; Metazoa; Platyhelminthes; Trematoda; Plagiorchiida; Gastrothylacidae.